CUUAAUUUGAAACAAUGUUGUUUGUUUGGGGGACAUCCAGAAAUUUCAGUUUUAAAUAAUGAUAUAUUAGCUGCAGGUGUAACAGUACCUAUGCAUUUAUUGCUUCACAGUCUAGCAGUGUUUGUGAGAAAAACUGGUGGAUCCUGCAGAUUAACUAUGGACAGCCAAAUAUUGAGUAAAGUGAUGUCUACAACAGCAUCAGCUAUGCCUGAUAUGGUGUUAAUUCACAUUGUGAAGUCCUCAAUAGGAAAAAGAUGCCUCCCUGGUCAACCUUCCUGGAAAGUAUGCAUAUCAUUACUGCUUAGAUUUUGUUGGAGAGAAAUCACACUACCAUCAAAGACAAUGGGUCAAAAAGAAUGCCGUCCUAAGCUGAGAAGCCAUCUUCCUAACGACAGCCAUGUAAUAUGAAAGGGAAAAACACACUGUUAUUGAAGAACUUAUCAGCUAUGUCACAACUUCCACACAAAUACUCAGGAAAGUUAAAAGAAAAUUUUACCUCGGACACAGUUGAUGUACCUCAGUCUUGUACAAAACUUAGAACUCACUAAGUCUGAAAUAAGACUUUAAACUCUCUCUGAGGUGAAGUUGUAAUACAGUGAGAAUGAUAAUAUAUAGUACAUUAGGAUUUACUUACUCCUGUGUUGUUCUGGACUAUAGACUGCCACACACAUCAGAUGCACAUGACUGACAUGUAUAUCUUCAUUUUGCUAUUAUUUGUAUGAACUAAUACAGGAU
Long non-coding RNA from Pan troglodytes (chimpanzee), 735 nucleotides. Lineage: Eukaryota; Metazoa; Chordata; Mammalia; Primates; Hominidae. The record is from Ensembl.